Molecule: long non-coding RNA, 8097 nt
Organism: Heterocephalus glaber (naked mole-rat)
Lineage: Eukaryota; Metazoa; Chordata; Mammalia; Rodentia; Bathyergidae
Source: Ensembl
CACAAGCACCUUUCUAUGAGCACUCAUUGCUUUUACCCCAAAUAGUCACAAAUAUCCCAGGUUUCUUUCUCUGUUCUUUCUUCUACCCAUUUGUGUACCUGAUAUCCUUCUCUGUUACAUUCACAGUGUUAGGUGAAUUUGAUUUACACACACACACACACACACACACACACACAUGCAUGCAUGCACAGACACACACCUGCUCUCUAUUGGCUUUAGUUCUUUUUGGGUGAGCUUUUAAGAAAUACUUGUGAUAAAUUGAAUUAUCCUAUAUGACAAUAUAGUGAGAAGAACAUGAAAGGGAAAGUACUAGCACCUGACCUUGGAAUUUGUCCAUAAGAUGAGACAGAGCACGGCAAAAAAUGGCAAACGAGAGAAUGAGUGAAGCCAAAGAAAGGUAGUAGUGGUAGCCAGACAUGAAAGCAACAGCGAAACAAAACAAAUGUUUCAGUUUGAAAGGGAUAAAAUUUGGGGUUGGGAGAAUUAGAGGUGUUGAAGAUUAUGAUAGAAAAGGGAAAGCAAUUGAUUGGGCCUUUGAAACCAUGCCAGGAACCAAGAGCCAGGGGCAGUGGCAGAGGGGACGGUCAGGUAGGACAAUUAAAACGGAAAUCUGGCUCCUUACAGCACAGCAUGGAGCGGGGCUACAGAAUUUGCUGCAGUGGGAGGUGGGGCCAGUCUGGCACAGUCUGUGGGUUUGAAAGGAGCUGGGCGGGUUAGAGAAUGCCAGUUAGUCUUUGUAGUUCUGAACUCAGAGAGGAGGUGACAAAUACUGGGCUUCAGGUCAGAAGCCUAGCCUGGGUGGCUUUUGGAGAAAUUUCCUCUCAGCUCCUAAACUCUUGAAACGUGCUCAUCACAUCACUGGGCUCCAAUCACAGCAUAAACACGUGUCUUGGAGGCUGUCUGCCAGCAGAUUUCAGCAGUGGUACCUGUUGGCUGACUGGUGGGGUCCUCUCCCUUUCCUGUGUCAUAGAAGCCGUCCACUGGGCUGAAUACGAUAUCUUUGCACAUUUUCCUUCACCUUUCCCACAUGCUUGCAUCUCCCAGACCCCUAGGGUUAAUCCCCAGGACAACCUUGCUUUGAAAGAAAAAAUGUGGUGAGUCUACUUGAAGAUUUGGAUCCCAGAGGCCCCUGUCUGUCCUGCCUCUGCCAGACCCAGACAAUCAGCUCAAGGAGAUGGACGUUCACAGAGAAAGCACUGGUCCUAUAGCACCCUGUUCAGGAAUGUCUCCCCAGUGAAAGGACAGAGACUACAGAGACUGCUAUGUUGAUCAACCCUCAUGCCAACUGUGAAGUUGAAACAAAGAAAGUGACAACCUGAAGAUAUCUCUCCUGUCCAGCAACAAACCCAAAAGGUGCAGUUUCAACCAUUAAAAUUCUCAGAAAAAGAGGCAAUUGUUCCAAGAAACAUAAAAACCCAGUAAUGACACCUAGAUCUCUAACAAGCCAAGAAGAACAUUCCCUUCCUUCUGUGUAUUCCUCUGUUUGUAUUUAAAUUCAUGUGACAUUAAUUUUUUUCCUAGUAUGGAGAAACUUCUUAAUGUACACAUUUUAAAAUCUAAAUUUACACAAAUGUGUUAAUAUGUUAAGGAACAAAAUUGGUGCUAUGAGGAGAAUGAUUUUUAGUCAUACACAGAGUUUAUUCUUAAGAGUAGCAUAGAGAAUUGAAGUACUUUUGAAAUGACAAAGUAGUCACUGGUAAUUUAAAGGAUAAAAGAAUGGGAGAAACUCAUGCUGGAGCUUCAAAAUACCACAUUAUUCCACCUUAUACCAGCCAGUAAACCAUUACCUUUAUCAAGCAAGCUCAGUUCUGUGAGAUAUGAUUAUUGCUUCUAAGAACUUUAAUCUAGAUAGAUAUGUAACUUUUUACAUAAACUUUUGAAAAGGUAAGUAACGGGUAGGUUCAGUAGAUAACAACAAAAAGCAAUGUAAAUGAUGAACUCAAAAGAGGUCUCAAUAAGGUGGGCAAAACUAACUUUCUUAGUGAAGGAAGUUUCCAAAAUAGGAAAGUAGGAGAUUAUUCUUGAAGGAUGUCAAAAAUAUAGAUGGUAUAAAGGUAGAAGAAAACAGAGUCCACUAGGUACACAAUAUUGUAAGCAAAACCUUGGAGAAGGAAAUCCACAUGGUAAAUUUAGGAGAGGAUGAAUGCACGUGUUGAUUUCACGUAACUCUAGGCACGCAGUACCUCUGUGUACUGGGAAAAACUUUGCACACAUACACCUCCCCUUUCAAUCCCCUCCUGCCUCCACCAAGUUUCACCUAGAAUUGUAUUUCUUUGCCAUUGUAGCACAAGAAGGUGAUUGGUGGUAAUAUGGAGAACUUGUGACUUUUCUGUUGAUAAUAAUUACUAUAUAUUGACUUCUCACUCUAUAUUAAGCAUUUUGCAGACUAACUCAAGCCUCAAGAUGAGGAUGCAAAUUAGAUAUUAUUAUCCUCAUUUUAUAGGUAAUAAAACUGAAGUUUAAUAAAAUUAUGUAACUUGACAAAAUGCCACAUAUGCUGUUCAUAUUUAGGAUUACGAUGACAAAGUUCAUGAUUUAAAGCACUAUCUCACAAUAUUGUGAUCAAUGUCAACAAUAUUGCCCUUUUUCUAUAUUCUUUGAUUGUCUAUGGCAAAUUAUUAUUAAUAUUAUUAAAUUAUCACCUAAAUCUUAUUAUUUUUCUGGAUAAAUUACAUUAGAGUGCUAGAAUGUAUUUUCAUUUAAAAAAGGAAAAAUUUGAGAAGUCGAGCUUUUCAGCACUUUAGACCUUUCUUUUCUGUUUUUGGCAAGACUUUGGUGAGACUUUCUACUUUGUUCUGCAAGAAAUCUCAAAUCUUUGAGAAUAAAAAUGGAAAAGUGUUUAUGUCACACAUUGCAAUGUCCUUUUUUACAGACAAGAUGAAUCUAUAGCCCAUAAACUUGGAGUGACUUACAGAAGUUCACAUUUGGCCCUUGCAGUAGACCAAAGACUAGAAAUAAGUCCCUUCAGUUUGGUCCACUCUCAGUGCCACUUGAACUAUGCCGCUCUGCAUAAAUGAAGCAUGAACUUGAAUUUGAUUAAAGGAAACAAUACAUCUAGGUAAUCAGGGAACAAUGUACAUAGUAGAUUGCUUCAAUUUUGUAUUUCUUUGCCAACUCACUUCAAUGUGAAGAACAGCUAGCCAUGAACUAGGAGCUUUAAACCCAUAAAUUGUCAAUCCAUCCCCCAGAAAACACAAAAUGACCAAAGUUUGUGUUUUCAAUAUUGUGUACAAUAUCUUCAAUAAUAUCAAGUUAUUUGGAAUUCUUAGUUUACUGGCACAAAUCAAAUCUUAACCAACUUUGUGCAGAGUAUACAUUUGUAAGUGGAUCUGCAUGAAUGCUUAUAGAUGACCAUUUCAAUAGUGCACUUUUAAAAAUAUCAAAUCAUUUGCUCUUAUAAUCUUCAUUUAUCCACGUAACUAAAGAAUACUUUGGCUAUGAAAAGAUAGACUUGAGAAAUCUCACUCUUCUUUACCAGCAAGUUUGCCUUUGGGCGGUGUUUAAUAAUGACUCAGAGCAUUAUUACUGCAUAGCAUAGAGAUUCAAAAUGCAAUUCUGUUUUAGAGGAACCAAUCAAGCUGGAUCUAUUUGAGGAUAGACAUCUUCAUGUUUGGAAAUACCAGAAUAUUUGGUCAUUGUAAAUGUCCACUUAGAUAUGUGGCAUUGUCACAUUUAGUUCUUUUUCCUUGUGGUGGUUAUUAUCCUGUUUACAAAAUGAUUGUUGAUCAUAUAUCAUGCCAUUCUCAUUGAGUUUAUAAAUAAAACGUUUUUUUUUAAAGGUAGUCAAGCUCAAAAUGUGACUUUGCUGACAUUUUAUGAGACUCUGUCAUAUGUCCCUAACUACCAAUAAAAAAAAAAUGCUAUAUCAACUGUGAACUUGUGUUGAUUUCUUGGGAAAAAAUGCUCUCAUAAUUUAUUUUCUUAUGUUCAUAUAUAUAUAAAUAUAUAUAUAUAUAUUUAUAUAUAUAUAUAUAUAAUUUCAGGAUCCACAAGGAGGAAAUAAUCUAAUGUGCUAAGAAAAAUUAAAUUUAGUGACAAUUUCUAAAUGAUCCCAUGUUAUCUUUAAAUAAAUAGCACUCUCAACUACCAUCUACUUAGGACAGAAAUCAAGGUGUGGUCCUUGUCUCUUCCCUUUCCACUUGCCAUGGGAGAUCAUUCAGAUAAUUCUUUUGAUAUUUUCUUCUUUCUGUUAUUCAAAUAUGUCUACUUCUUUCCAUCAUCUGUUAUAGUAAAGAUAAUGCUCAUUUCUCCCCUGGCUUGCUAUGUUUGGCCUCUAGCCACAAAUAUCACUCUGUGGUUUCAAAUUCUCCACUGCUUCCCAUUACCCUGGAGAUACCAUGAUAGAUAAAGCCAUUUAUGUCCUAAAUCCUAGACCCAGCAGUCUGCUCAUCAAUCUUCAUUCUCAUUUUUUGGUAGGUACAAACCAUCUAUCUUUGCCUUUCCCUAGCAUUCCCUGUAUAUUCUCAGCUUUCCCAUACAUAUAACCUUCUGUCUAGUACUCUCUCCAGUAGUUCCAGACUAUAUUCACAUGUCUCUCAGCCUCAUCCCAGCAUCCAUUUCCUCUUGAAAUUCUCCCCCAACUCUCUAGAAUUACCUUCUGCAUUGUAGAUGAAUCAUGAAAUUGUGUGCAUACCUCUUCAUAGGACUUACCACCAAUACAGUGAUGACUUCUGCACUGGUCUCCUCUAUUUGAAUAUGAGAUUCUAGGGUCACACUGUUUAACCUCAUAAUCACUCUCCAUAUGUGGCAAUUUCAAUUUCAAUUAAUUAGUAUUACAUAAAAUUAAUUCAGAGCUGGGUAUGGUGGUUCACACCUGUAAUUCAAGUGGCCCAGUAGGCUGAGGCAGGAGGAUUGCAAAUUUGAGGCCAGCCUGGGCAAUUUAGCAAGAUCCUACCUAAAAGAAAAAGGCCCUGGGUUCAAUUUCCAGUCACACACACACAGACACACACACACACACACCAUUUCUCAGUUGCACCAACACACUUCAAGAGCUCAGUAGCCAUGUAAAACUAGAAGCUAUCCCACAACAGCAUAGAUGCAAAACACUCUUAUGGAUACAGUUCUGUUGCAUGGUGCUGUUCUAGAAAAUAUAUUCUAUAUUUUGUCAGUCAUUUCAUCCAGAAGAUUUUAAACUCAGUUUGUCAUUUGGACCACAGGUUACAAAAGAUGAUUUGAAAGAUUAUUUUCUCAAUUAUCUCAAGGAUGAUAUUUAACAAAUACUAUACUAUAUGCAAAGGAAGAAGAUUAAUUCAUUGGAUGUAAAGAUAUCCAGGGCAUUAGGGUUUCAUUCUAGCGUAAAACUCUAGUUGAGAAUGUCUACAACAGCCAGUCAAAGGAUUUGGUACAAUAUAAUUAUCUGCUGAAUGAAUGAUACACAUAGAUUUAAUUUUAUCUAUUUCUAUCUAAAAGUGUGGACUCAUGUAGGACACGUGUCUUUAGAUUUCAAGGGGCCCCUUUUCUAGAAAAUAUUGUGAUAAAUGAUUUACUUUCCUCUCAAGGACAGAAGAAUGGUGUGACCGAUAGGAUUACCUAUUAUUUCACUUUCUAUUGAUAUUUACACAAGCAAGCAAUUGAAAAUAACUGAGCCCUCAUUCAGUAGAUGAGGUCAAAAUGAAAAUGAUCCCAUUAGAUACCAGAUUUGAUAAGCCCUAUUUAUUUCAAAAAAUGCCCAAAGUUUACUGAAAACAUUAAUUAUCUACUGAGCACCUAUUAUGUCCAGGCACGUUGUCAAGUCCUAGGGGUGUAGAAGGGAACAGGAAGGACACAGCUCUUAUAUUCAUAGUGAGUAGCAUUAAUAUAAUUAUUUUUGUUCUUCCUUGCCUGGUACCCAAAGCAGGAGUGCUCAUACUUGGCUACAUAUUCUAACCACCUAGGGAGUUUAAAAAAUACUCAUACUUGACUCUCUUCUGAAUAGAUUCUGAUUUAAUUGGUGUAGGGUGUGGCUGGGAAUUGGGAUUUUUAAGAGGUUCCUUUGAGAUUGGAAUGUGAAGCCAAAGUUAAAAACUGUUGACCUAUGGGGAUAUAAUCUUAAAAUGAUCUCAGAAAACUAAAAGCUUUUGUUAUUAAUAGUUGGUAGCAUAUUAGAACAAAAAGACUUUAAAAUCAUUUAACAUAUCUACAUUUUGCUUUCUAUUCCUCAGAAUAUAAACCAAUACUUAGUUGCUGAGUUGUCUAGGUCAAAUAGUUCAUUACUAAGAUGAGACCUAACCCUAGAUUUCUGAUUUUAACAUAAUACACUACUUGCUACACUAAACUGUCUGAGAGAAAUAGAAAAUAUAAUUAUCUUCAAAUUGAGUGACAGAAUCCACUAUGGUCAUAAUUUUUAAGAGUCUAAUUUGAGUUAAAUUCCAUAAACUCGUAUAUACAAGUAUUUCUGAUACUCAAAUAUAUGCACCAUAGAUUAAUUUCUCUAAAAUGCAUUUCUUUUAAAAAUGUGUAUUCAUAUGCAUAUAUGUACAUACAUAUAAAAAGACACAUAUAAUGCAUAUAUGUUACAUAUUAUAUUGUACAGAGGAUAACUCAGUUCCCCAGGAAUCCUAACAACGUUUUUAUAGAUUCAGACCUCAAUAUACAUAUGUUAAACUCCACACACAACUAGGAAGGAUAUCUUGCUUUAAACUUGAAUUCCUCAGUAACAAAAAUGGUUGUAGGAAGAGAAAGUAAGAGUGUACUGUGUGUUCGCAUUCUCUGUCCCCACCUACUUUAUUAUAUGACAUUCCAUUCAAUUUUACAUUUCACAAUACAGGUAAAAAUUCCAGUCUCUCUCCAUGAGAAAGAUUGACAUUAAAAACUGCUAUAGAAGUAGCUACCUUUUUAAGCUAUCACUUGUCCCAUUUUUAGAUUCUACACAUAGAUCAAAAGAAUCCAUGAACUAUGUGAGGCAUCUAAUCUACUCUUCAUCAGUAUAAGACACAUAGUGAAAAUGUGUCUUCUCACUUUUUGAAAAUCUCAAAAUAAAAUGAAUACCCACACACUUCCUUCAAAAUGCAUUUCACUGUUCGAGAGUCUAUACAGUUGGGAAAUUCUUAUUUCUAUUCCAAAUCCCUCAAGCUGUAGUUUAAUCCCAUUUUCUCUAGUUUCCCACAGAGAGAGAGAACAGCUGGCUUCCAUUCUUUUUAAACUCAAUCCCUUCAUAUCCUGAAAGACACCUACCUCUCAGCCUUCUUUUUGCUGGAAUGAAUCCUAAAAGUUCCCCUCAGUAAAAUGUCUCUUUUGGAUUCUGCAUAUUCAUUGCCAUAUCACAUAUAUUCAUGUUCAUUACAUAAUGUUCAUAUCAAGCCAAGGACAAGCACAAAAACAAGGAAACUCAUCAUUGUUUUCAUGAAUGAAAUUACAGAUCCAAUAAAAAAACACUUAAAAAUAGUUGGGAAUGAUAAUCUUCCAAAAUUAUCCUAAUUUCUUUUUUUUAAUCCUAAUUUCUUUUAGAAAGUAUUGACAAUUUGUUGCUUUUGGAGAGGAGAAUUAAAAAUUAAAUGACUGGGUUUCAAUUUUCUUUAUACAAACUUUCCCCAAGCCCUGCAAUGGAAUAUUCCACUCAGCAUUCCACAGCAGGAGCCACCAUUGCUCUGACAAAAAUAGAUACAGUAUUGGAACAUUAAGUCAAUGGAGUAAUCCAAUUGUCUGAACGUUCUUUUCUACUUUGUCAUUUAUAUUUUAAUAAAUCUCAGAAUAUGUCAAGCCCUAUCAAGUUUACCAAGUGCAGUGAACCACAUGCAGUUACCAGAUGCAUUGAGGGCAUCAUGCAACUCCUACAAAGCACCCACAUUUAGUUUAUGAAAAAAUGCUAGGCACACAGUGCUGCUGUCUGGUUGCCAUGGUGACCGCAGCCUAUUAUCCUGCCUUGUCAUUCAUCAAGAAAGAAUUACACUUGACAGAGGCAGAGGAAAAUGCCUGCAGUCUGCAGCAUAGGAGAAAAAAAAGCUUUUCUUGUCUUCUAUGUAUGUAAAGGGCCUUUAAUGCCCAUUUAGUUACAUGUUUUAUUUAGCAUUAUUUAUUACUUGUAACUACAAUAAUUGAUACCUGUAAAAAAAUACAUCCCCUCCCCCUUAAGUAUUUAACUUGCAAUUUGUCCAUUUGCUUUGCUUUCCCAUUUCAGAC